AAUAGAUACCCUGGUAGUCCACGCCGUAAACGUUGGGCGCUAGAUGUGGGGACCAUUCCACGGUUUCCGUGUCGCAGCUAACGCAUUAAGCGCCCCGCCUGGGGAGUACGGCCGCAAGGCUAAAACUCAAAGGAAUUGACGGGGGCCCGCACAAGCGGCGGAGCAUGCGGAUUAAUUCGAUGCAACGCGAAGAACCUUACCAAGGCUUGACAUAUACGAGAACGCUCUAGAAAUAGAGAACUCUUUGGACACUCGUAUACAGGUGGUGCAUGGUUGUCGUCAGCUCGUGUCGUGAGAUGUUGGGUUAAGUCCCGCAACGAGCGCAACCCUCGUUCUAUGUUGCCAGCGGUUCGGCCGGGAACUCAUAGGAGACUGCCGGGGUCAACUCGGAGGAAGGUGGGGAUGACGUCAAAUCAUCAUGCCCCUUAUGUCUUGGGUCUUCACGCAUGCUACAAUGGCCGGUACGAAAGGGCUGCAAUACCGUAAGGUGGAGCGAAUACCCAAAAAGCCGGUCUCAGUUCGGAUUGAGGUCUGCAACUCGA
RNAcentral lists this ribosomal RNA (542 nucleotides) under uncultured bacterium. RNAcentral's name for it is "bacterial SSU rRNA". It matches the Rfam family "Bacterial small subunit ribosomal RNA", at positions 777 to 1315 of the family's 1533-position model. The record is from RNAcentral.